This 253-nucleotide ribosomal RNA is filed under the name uncultured bacterium. RNAcentral describes it as "partial 16S ribosomal RNA". It matches the Rfam family "Bacterial small subunit ribosomal RNA", at positions 524 to 776 of the family's 1533-position model. The record is from RNAcentral.
UACGUAGGGUGCAAGCGUUGUCCGGAAUUAUUGGGCGUAAAGAGCUCGUAGGCGGUUCGUCGCAUCGGCUGUGAAAACCCGGAGCUCAACUCCGGGCCUGCAGUCGAUACGGGCGGACUAGAGUUCGGCAGGGGAGACUGGAAUUCCUGGUGUAGCGGUGAAAUGCGCAGAUAUCAGGAGGAACACCGGUGGCGAAGGCGGGUCUCUGGGCCGAUACUGACGCUGAGGAGCGAAAGCGUGGGGAGCGAACAGG